AGAUUUUUCGGAAUGAAGUUUUUAUGACUGAGUGGCGGACGGGUGAGUAACGCGUGGGUAACCUGCCUCACACAGGGGGAUAGCAGUUGGAAACGACUGGUAAUACCGCAUAAGCGCACAGCUUCGCAUGAAGCGGUGUGAAAAACUCCGGUGGUGUGAGAUGGACCCGCGUCUGAUUAGGUAGUUGGUGAGGUAACGGCCCACCAAGCCGACGAUCAGUAGCCGACCUGAGAGGGUGACCGGCCACAUUGGGACUGAGACACGGCCCAGACUCC
Molecule: ribosomal RNA, 275 nt
Filed under: uncultured Lachnospiraceae bacterium
Lineage: Bacteria; Bacillati; Bacillota; Clostridia; Lachnospirales; Lachnospiraceae
Description: partial 16S ribosomal RNA
Rfam family: Bacterial small subunit ribosomal RNA
Source: RNAcentral